Long non-coding RNA from Gasterosteus aculeatus aculeatus (three-spined stickleback), 1245 nucleotides. The record is from Ensembl. Lineage: Eukaryota; Metazoa; Chordata; Actinopteri; Perciformes; Gasterosteidae.
CGUGUUCUGACAACGCAGAACACGAGUGUUGGCGUAAAUGUGGCCCUCGCGGUAACAAGCAUGUUCCCGGGACCUUUAAAUCACCUGAGUGGCGGUUGUAAUUACGGCUCUCUGGGACGCCACUCAACCCCUUCUAAUGCUCAGGGGGCCCGACGGCGGCGCCACUUGUUGCGCAAGCAUCCGCGGGGAGGGUGAGCGCUGUGGAGCGGCUGAGGGUGGAGGAGAGCCGGGAUGCCCCCUUUGGCAAUUUCAAGAUCUUGUUCCACACCGUGAAGACUCUAAGCAUGAAGUCCUGACGCAUGAGCCCGCGUGAUAGAGGCGGGACUGGGAAAUCCCACAAUAUGUGAAGGAUAUACAGAUGAACCAUCCAAUUUUAGAAGAAAGUAACAUUUUAAACCCCUUCACUUCCUGCUUAAGUCCUUCUCUGUUAAAUAUUAGGUUGGUUGUCAUUUAACCAAAUGGAUUUGCAUGUAAUAUUUUAAUGAAAUGAAGCAUACAUAAACAUUAAUUAAUUCACCACAAUCAUCAUUCAGAGGCAACUCGAUAAGCAAACUAUUAACGUAGGUAAGGUUUGUCUCGGAAGCCACACUGUAAUUAUUUUGACACUUUUACGAUUGUUCUAAGAGCUCAAUUACAGAUGUUGAGUAAUAAAUCACUUUUUUGUUUAUUUAAAGUACAUCUGUAUUUCAGGUAAAAAAACGGGUUUAAUGAAUCAGUAACUUAAAUGCAGCAUUUUGACAAAAGAGUUUAACUGACAUUUUGAAUUAAUUAAUAUAUAAAAAAUACUAAUUGACUCAUUGGUCCGGUUUGAACUGGGAGGGUGAUCAAGUGGACAAUUGUGAGUGCAUUGUGCGGAGGCAUGCGGCCACUUUUACUGUAAUUCUCCACCGCGUCAGGGACGAGGUAGUCGGCUGCGUGUCUGCCUGGCAAACUGGGUCACGCUUUCCACCAGUGUAUCGCAAGCAAGUGUGUCUCCGGGUCAGGAGAGAAUGUGUGUGUGUGUGUGUGUGUGUGUGUGUGAGAGUUUGACAGUGACAUUGCAGCUGUGAAUGUAGAGGUUUAGUGUGUUUACAGUUUAUUGCCCAAUUCCAAUGUCCCCCAUAAAGCCUCAAGGACUUGGUGAUGUCAGGUUAGUGGAUGCAGAUACAACAGCUUCAAUGAGGGAAUGAAAUGUUUGAUGAAUUCUUUUCCUCUGAUUACAUGUUUCUGAGUAAAAGUAAUGUUCCGCGUUGAACGUGUCCGUGC